GGUUUCGUAGCUCAAUUGGUUAGAGCAUCGACCUGAUACGUCGAAGGUUGAAGGUUCGAGUCCUUCCGAAACUA
Molecule: transfer RNA, 74 nt
Filed under: Chryseobacterium arthrosphaerae
Lineage: Bacteria; Pseudomonadati; Bacteroidota; Flavobacteriia; Flavobacteriales; Weeksellaceae
Description: tRNA-Ile
Rfam family: tRNA
About the family: Transfer RNA (tRNA) molecules are approximately 80 nucleotides in length. Their secondary structure includes four short double-helical elements and three loops (D, anti-codon, and T loops).
Source: RNAcentral